This 292-nucleotide ribosomal RNA is filed under the name uncultured bacterium. Its description in RNAcentral is "partial 16S ribosomal RNA". It matches the Rfam family "Bacterial small subunit ribosomal RNA", at positions 505 to 796 of the family's 1533-position model. The record is from RNAcentral.
GUGUCAGCCGCCGCGGUAAUACGAAGGGGGCUAGCGUUGUUCGGAAUUACUGGGCGUAAAGCGCACGUAGGCGGAUGUGCCAGUCAGGGGUGAAAUCCCGAGGCUCAACCUCGGAACUGCCUCCGAUACAGCACGUCUCGAGUCCGGAAGAGGUGAGUGGAAUUCCUAGUGUAGAGGUGAAAUUCGUAGAUAUUAGGAAGAACACCAGUGGCGAAGGCGGCUCACUGGUCCGGUACUGACGCUGAGGUGCGAAAGCGUGGGGAGCAAACAGGAUUAGAAACCCUAGUAGUCC